Molecule: ribosomal RNA, 1121 nt
Filed under: human gut metagenome
Description: bacterial LSU rRNA
Rfam family: Bacterial large subunit ribosomal RNA
Source: RNAcentral
CCAAUCGAACCCGGAGAUAGCUGGUUCUCCUCGAAAUAGCUUUAGGGCUAGCCUCAUGAGAGUCUUAUGGAGGUAGAGCACUGAAUUGCCUAGGGGGCGUCAAAGCUUACCAAAGCAUAUCAAACUCCGAAUGCCAUCAAGAUGAUUCAUGGGAGUCAGACCAUACGAGAUAAGUUGGAUGGUCAAAAGGGAAAGAGCCCAGACCUACAGCUAAGGUCCCAAAGUACGUGUUAAGUGGAAAAGGAUGUGGGGAUUCUAAGACAACUAGGACGUUGGCUUAGAAGCAGCCAUUCAUUGAAAGAGUGCGUAAUAGCUCACUAGUCGAGAGUCCCUGCGCCGAAAAUGUCCGGGGCUGAAACACGACACCGAAGCUUAGGAAUGUGUAAACAUUGGUAGAGGAGCAUUGCUGGCGGGAUGAAGCCAUACCGUAAGGAGUGGUGGACUGCUAGGAAGAGAGAAUGCCGGAAUGAGUAGCGAGAUGAAGGUGAGAAUCCUUCAGGCCGAAUAUCUAAGGUUUCCAGAGUAAAGCUGAUCUGCUCUGGGUAAGUCGGGACCUAAGGCGAGGUCGAAAGACGUAGUCGAUGGAUAACAGGUUGAAAUUCCUGUACCGCAUAUAAACAGAACUGUGGGGACACAGACAGGGAAUGGAAUCCGGGAAUGGAAAUCCCGGUGCAAGCGAGGUAGGAGUGCUGUUGGCAAAUCCGCAGCACGAUCUGAAGACGUGACGCGUACCGAACAUAAGUAGGGAAGUCCAGGCCCCUGGCUGUCAAGAAAAGCCGCUAUUGUUUUAUAUGUGCCCGUACCGCAAACCGACACAGGUGGAUGAGGAGAGAAUCCUAAGGCCGACGGGAGAAGUAUUGUUAAGGAACUCGGCAAAAUGACUCCGUAACUUCGGGAGAAGGAGUGCCAUGUAAAAGUGGCCGCAGAGAAUUGGCCCAAGCAACUGUUUAGCAAAAACACAGGUCUAUGCAAAACCGAAAGGUGAGGUAUAUGGGCUGACGCCUGCCCGGUGCUGGAAGGUUAAGGGGAGAGGUUAGCGCAAGCGAAGCUUUGAACUUAAGCCCCAGUAAACGGCGGCCGUAACUAUAACGGUCCUAAGGUAGCGAAAUUCCUUGUCGGGU